AUGGCCCUGCUGAAAUGUUGUCACUGCUGCAGCUCCUGUCCCCUGCACCCUCCCCAGGAUGGCUGUUGCUGCAAGAUGAGGAGGAGGAGGAGGAAGAGGAGAAGGAGGAGGAGGAGGAGGAGGUCUCACUCUGCACAGACCUUGUGUGCAGUGCUGCCAUGGCGAGCGGAAACGUGGGAAGAGAACACAGAGAGAAAGAAAAGCGACUCCCAGGCCCUGAGGGGAGGGGAGCUGAGAGGAGAGAGCAGGAGGGGAAAUGUCGGACCCUGCUGUGCCAUGCUGGGGACAUGGCUGGGGAAGGGACAAUGGGACACAGGGACACAGGGACAUGGGGACACCAGGACACUGGCUCCUGCCCUCGGCACCACUUCCCUGCAGCACUGGAAGGAGCCAUGCAGCUCACCCGCAGGAGCAGAGUGGAAAUGGGGACGAGUGCUGCUGGGAGGGGUUUUGGCACAGGACGUGGCCCGCAGCGCUCACCCAAAGGACAAACUGGGCUCCAGUUGUCACCCACUUCCCACCGGGCCAGCAUCCCUGUGGCAAUCUGGGCACCCUGUGUCCUCAUGUCCUCAUGUCCUCACGUCCCUGUGUCCCCAUGUCCCUGUUUCCCCACGUCCCCCUGUCCCCGUGUCCCCACAUACCCCGAGUGCUGACUUCCUGCCUCCGGAGGCUGAGCCGCCACCGCCGCCGCUCCCCGGCCGUGGGAGCGACCCCAGACACCGGUCCCAGGGAGCCAGGAGCGCGGCCCCACGGAGCACAGGGGUGCGGGGGGAGCCUCACGUCCCCUGCGCAUCCCAACCCGCUGCUGUCAGGGCUGUGUCUGUGCCCCAGCCCCACUCCCAAGGCCUUUCCCAGCUCCCAGCUGGGGAUACAGACCCUUUUGCUUUAGAUUUUAUCCUGCACCACCCUCUCAGGGUGGCACCAAGGAGCUUAAAGCCAAUUGUCCCCUCUGUCCGUGUCCCCUUGAGCGCCGCCGUUGGGAACACCGCUAUUUUUAAUCCCAGGAAGCUAUCCUGA
RNAcentral lists this long non-coding RNA (1017 nucleotides) under Numida meleagris (helmeted guineafowl). RNAcentral's name for it is "lncRNA (ENSNMEG00000016101.1)". The record is from RNAcentral. Lineage: Eukaryota; Metazoa; Chordata; Aves; Galliformes; Numididae.